GAUGAACGCUGGCGGCGUGCCUAAUACAUGCAAGUCGAGCGAACGGACGAGAAGCUUGCUUCUCUGAUGUUAGCGGCGGACGGGUGAGUAACACGUGGAUAACCUACCUAUAAGACUGGGAUAACUUCGGGAAACCGGAGCUAAUACCGGAUAAUAUUUUGAACCGCAUGGUUCAAAAGUGAAAGACGGUCUUGCUGUCACUUAUAGAUGGAUCCGCGCUGCAUUAGCUAGUUGGUAAGGGAACGGCUUACCAAGGCAACGAUGGAUAGCCGACCUGAGAGGGUGGACGGCCACAGUGGGAAGGAGAAAGGGCCAAGACUGCUAGGGGAGGGAGCAGUGGGGAAUAGUGAACAAUGGGCGGAAGGCUGAUGCAGAGACGCCGCGUGGGGGAUGAAGGCGUUCGGGGUGUAAACUCCUUUCACCAGCGACGAAGGUUUUCUGACGGUAGAUGGAGAAGAAGCACCGGCUAACUACGUG
Molecule: ribosomal RNA, 477 nt
Filed under: uncultured bacterium
Lineage: Bacteria
Description: partial 16S ribosomal RNA
Rfam family: Bacterial small subunit ribosomal RNA
Source: RNAcentral